GGAUGUGAGGGCGAUCUGGCUGCAACAUCUGUCACCCCAUUGAUCGCCAGUGUUGAUUCGGCUGAUCUGGCUGGCUAGGCGGAUGUCCCCUUCCUCCCUCACCAUUCCAUGUGCGUCCCUCCCGAAGCUGCGCACUCAGUCAAAGAGGACGGCCUUCCCUGAGUAGAGUUGGACUGGUCUUCGGUCGAGGGUAUACGAGUAGCUGCGCUUCCCUGCUAGAACCUCCAAACAAGCUCUCAAGGUCCACAGUGCCAGCACUGAGCCCCAAUGAUAACCCUGGAGGCAAUAAAAUAAAUUAAUUUAACUAUUCUUUUCAAGAAAGGUAACUUUUUUUU
Molecule: small nuclear RNA, 335 nt
Filed under: Erinaceus europaeus (western European hedgehog)
Lineage: Eukaryota; Metazoa; Chordata; Mammalia; Eulipotyphla; Erinaceidae
Description: 7SK RNA
Rfam family: 7SK RNA
About the family: 7SK was discovered as an abundant small nuclear RNA in the mid-70s but a possible function has only recently been suggested. Two independent studies have found that 7SK RNA binds the CDK9/cyclin T complex (known as elongation factor P-TEFb).
Source: Rfam by way of RNAcentral